This 496-nucleotide ribosomal RNA is filed under the name uncultured bacterium. RNAcentral's name for it is "partial 16S ribosomal RNA". It matches the Rfam family "Bacterial small subunit ribosomal RNA", at positions 28 to 506 of the family's 1533-position model. The record is from RNAcentral.
GAUGAACGCUGGCGGCGUGCCUAAUACAUGCAAGUCGAGCGAACAGACGAGGAGCUUGCUCCUCUGACGUUAGCGGCGGACGGGUGAGUAACACGUGGAUAACCUACCUAUAAGACUGGGAUAACUUCGGGAAACCGGAGCUAAUACCGGAUAAUAUAUCGAACCGCAUGGUUCAAUAGUGAAAGACGGUUUUGCUGUCACUUAUAGAUGGAUCCGCGCCGCAUUAGCUAGUUGGUAAGGUAACGGCUUACCAAGGCAACGAUGCGUAGCCGACCUGAGAGGGUGAUCGGCCACACUGGAACUGAGACACGGUCCAGACUCCUACGGGAGGCAGCAGUAGGGAAUCUUCCGCAAUGGGCGAAAGCCUGACGGAGCAACGCCGCGUGAGUGAUGAAGGUCUUCGGAUCGUAAAACUCUGUUAUUAGGGAAGAACAAAUGUGUAAGUAACUAUGCACGUCUUGACGGUACCUAAUCAGAAAGCCACGGCUAACUACGU